Molecule: ribosomal RNA, 125 nt
Filed under: uncultured bacterium
Lineage: Bacteria
Description: partial 16S ribosomal RNA
Rfam family: Bacterial small subunit ribosomal RNA
Source: RNAcentral
CAAUGGACGCAAGUCUGACCCAGCAACGCCGCGUGAAGGAAGAAGGCUUUCGGGUUGUAAACUUCUUUUAAGGGGGAAGAGCAGAAGACGGUACCCCUUGAAUAAGCCACGGCUAACUACGUGCC